This 833-nucleotide long non-coding RNA is filed under the name Olea europaea subsp. europaea. The record is from RNAcentral. Lineage: Eukaryota; Viridiplantae; Streptophyta; Magnoliopsida; Lamiales; Oleaceae.
GUCACAUUCCCCUAGGAUGUCGCCUCCGUCGAGGGUGUCACUUCCGUUAAGGGUGUCACAUUUCCCAGUGAUGUCGCCUCUGUCGAGGGUGUCACCUCCCUACAUGAGAUCACCGUCUCCUGCGUCCGGACACCUCCCACGUGGAUCUGCUGUACAUAGUCAGAGUGCUUUCAUCGAUGACAUGUUCUGACUUAUGAUGGAGAUCAGAGGCGACGUAGCAGACUUACGAGGCGAAGUAGCUGACUUACGACAUGAUGUCGGGAUAGUACAAGUCGGUUUAAGAGAGCUUUAUGCUUGGAUCGUAGCGAUACGGGGCGACAUAGCAGGCCUGCGUGGGACUGGCGGGUAUCAAAGUGGGACUGGUGAGUAUCGGGAUCGGGGGGUGGUGGAGGGACUGGUGGUUAUCAGGGUCGAGGGGAUAUGUUGACUCGUUGUGGGCAUCGGAUGAUGCAUUAGCUUCAUAUCUCGGUGGCCCGAUAAAGAUGGAGAUGGAGGAUCAUGCCCUGAUGGAGAUGGAGGCAGAGGGAAUACUUGAGGUGGAAAGGGUGCCGGAGAAGGUCAUGAGGGUGUCGGGGGAGGGGGUACCUGAAGUGAAAAAUUGAAGAGGGUGCCGGAGGAAGAGGAGGUCGUGAGGGUGCCAGAGGACGGGGGGUACCCGAGAAUGAGGUCGAGAGGGUUUCGGAGGAGAAGGUCAUGAGGGUAUCGGUGGAGGACGGGGUACUCGGGGCGGAAGUCGAAAGGGUGCCAGAGGAGGAGGAGGUCGUGAGGGUGUCAGAGGACAAUGAAGUACUUAAGGCGGAGGUCGGGAGGAUGCCGGAGGAGGAGGUCGUGAG